Molecule: ribosomal RNA, 253 nt
Filed under: uncultured bacterium
Lineage: Bacteria
Description: partial 16S ribosomal RNA
Rfam family: Bacterial small subunit ribosomal RNA
Source: RNAcentral
UACGUAGGGUGCGAGCGUUGUCCGGAAUUAUUGGGCGUAAAGAGCUCGUAGGCGGUCCGUUACGUCUGCCGUGAAAACCCGGGGCUCAACCCCGGGCCUGCGGUGGAUACGGGCGGACUAGAGUCCGGCAGGGGAGACUGGAAUUCCUGGUGUAGCGGUGGAAUGCGCAGAUAUCAGGAGGAACACCGGUGGCGAAGGCGGGUCUCUGGGCCGGAACUGACGAUGAGGAGCGAAAGCGUGGGGAGCGAACAGG